This 672-nucleotide ribosomal RNA is filed under the name Bacillus sp. 13556. RNAcentral describes it as "bacterial SSU rRNA". It matches the Rfam family "Bacterial small subunit ribosomal RNA", at positions 75 to 732 of the family's 1533-position model. The record is from RNAcentral. Lineage: Bacteria; Bacillati; Bacillota; Bacilli; Caryophanales; Bacillaceae.
GGAGCUUGCUCCCGGAUGUUAGCGGCGGACGGGUGAGUAACACGUGGGUAACCUGCCUGUAAGACUGGGAUAACUCCGGGAAACCGGAGCUAAUACCGGAUAGUUCCUUGAACCGCAUGGUUCAAGGAUGAAAGACGGUUUCGGCUGUCACUUACAGAUGGACCCGCGGCGCAUUAGCUAGUUGGUGGGGUAAUGGCUCACCAAGGCGACGAUGCGUAGCCGACCUGAGAGGGUGAUCGGCCACACUGGGACUGAGACACGGCCCAGACUCCUACGGGAGGCAGCAGUAGGGAAUCUUCCGCAAUGGACGAAAGUCUGACGGAGCAACGCCGCGUGAGUGAUGAAGGUUUUCGGAUCGUAAAGCUCUGUUGUUAGGGAAGAACAAGUGCGAGAGUAACUGCUCGCACCUUGACGGUACCUAACCAGAAAGCCACGGCUAACUACGUGCCAGCAGCCGCGGUAAUACGUAGGUGGCAAGCGUUGUCCGGAAUUAUUGGGCGUAAAGGGCUCGCAGGCGGUUUCUUAAGUCUGAUGUGAAAGCCCCCGGCUCAACCGGGGAGGGUCAUUGGAAACUGGGAAACUUGAGUGCAGAAGAGGAGAGUGGAAUUCCACGUGUAGCGGUGAAAUGCGUAGAGAUGUGGAGGAACACCAGUGGCGAAGGCGACUCUCUGG